Molecule: unclassified non-coding RNA, 336 nt
Filed under: soil metagenome
Description: partial contains 5.8S ribosomal RNA, internal transcribed spacer 2, and large subunit ribosomal RNA
Rfam family: 5.8S ribosomal RNA (bases 1-120)
Source: RNAcentral
GAUGAAGAACGUAGCGAAAUGCGAUAAGUAAUGUGAAUUGCAGAAUUCAGUGAAUCAUCGAAUCUUUGAACGCACAUUGCGCCCGCCAGUAUUCUGGCGGGCAUGCCUGUUCGAGCGUCAUUCCAACCAUCAAGCCCCCGGCUUGUGUUGGGGACCUGCGGCUGCCGCAGGCCCUGAAAACCAGUGGCGGGCUCGCUGUCACACCGAGCGUAGUAGAUUUUCAUCUCGCUCAGGGCGUGCUGCGGGUUCCGGCCGUAAAAAGCCUUAUUUACCCAAGGUUGACCUCGGAUCAGGUAGGAAGACCCGCUGAACUUAAGCAUAUCAAUAAGCGGAGGA